UACGGGGGGGGUAAGCGUUGUUCGGAAUUACUGGGCGUAAAGGGCGCGUAGGCGGUGUGUCAAGUCAGGCGUGAAAGCCCCGGGCUCAACCUGGGAACCGCGCUUGAGACUGGCACGCUCGAGUUCGGGAGAGGAUGGUGGAAUUCCCAGUGUAGAGGUGAAAUUCGUAGAUAUUGGGAAGAACACCGAUGGCGAAGGCAGCCAUCUGGACCGACACUGACGCUGAGGCGCGAAAGCGUGGGGAGCAAACAGG
RNAcentral lists this ribosomal RNA (253 nucleotides) under uncultured bacterium. Its description in RNAcentral is "partial 16S ribosomal RNA". It matches the Rfam family "Bacterial small subunit ribosomal RNA", at positions 524 to 776 of the family's 1533-position model. The record is from RNAcentral.